GCCGAAGUGGCGGAACUGGUAGACGCGCCGGACUCAAAAUCCGGUGGGGGAAACCUCGUGUGGGUUCGAGUCCCACCUUCGGCA
Molecule: transfer RNA, 84 nt
Filed under: Actinomycetes bacterium
Lineage: Bacteria; Bacillati; Actinomycetota; Actinomycetes
Also listed under: 1 other name
Description: Actinobacteria bacterium tRNA-Leu
Rfam family: tRNA
About the family: Transfer RNA (tRNA) molecules are approximately 80 nucleotides in length.
Source: RNAcentral